UACGGGGGGGGUAAGCGUUGUUCGGAAUUACUGGGCGUAAAGGGCUCGUAGGCGGCCAACUAAGUCAUACGUGAAAUCCCUCAGCUUAACUGGGGAACUGCGUGUGAUACUGGAUGGCUUGGAUUUGGGAGAGGGAUGCGGAAUUCCAGGUGUAGCGGUGAAAUGCGUAGAUAUCUGGAGGAACACCGGUGGCGAAGGCGGCAUCCUGGACCGAGAUUGACGCUGAGGCGCGAAAGCCAGGGGAGCAAACAGG
RNAcentral lists this ribosomal RNA (253 nucleotides) under uncultured bacterium. RNAcentral describes it as "partial 16S ribosomal RNA". It matches the Rfam family "Bacterial small subunit ribosomal RNA", at positions 524 to 776 of the family's 1533-position model. The record is from RNAcentral.